GUCCUGGGUCCGCACCUCACAGCUUCAGGUGGAGUGCACCUUGCUCCCAGAAGUUGGGACAGGCCUAACUGCACUGGUUUUGGAGUCCGGCAACGGGGUUCGCAUCUUGCCUCUUACUAAGGAAACCUGAGCAAGAUACAGUGCCAUCUCGGGCCUCGGUUUCUCUCCUGUAAAUGGGGAUGAUAGAAUCUACCUCGUAGGACCCUGAUGAGGAUGCAAUGAGAUGAUGUAUUUGGACAGUACUCAGAUUAAGAAAUUCAAAGAGGUAUCCGAUGCCCUAUUUAUUUUGGGAACUGUUCUCUGAACGUAAUUCUGUGACUAAAUGAGAGCGGCUUCUCUCCCGGACCUGGUGGCCCCAGCCUGCCCCCUCCCCACCCACACCCUGUGUUCCUGUGGCUCUUUGGAAAGAGAGCACAGGCUCAGGAUGGAAGAAUUUCGUUUUUGAGUUAAAUAAGUCCACUCGAAGUUCCAGAGGAGGGGCCUGGCAGAGACCGCGUUCUGAUCAUAGGGGCGUGGGCGAGGAAAACUCUGAUAAGCUCCACGGUGAAGGGGUGAAGGAAUCGGCAGUGGGAGAGCAGAGCGCCAAGGCAAAGGGAACGUUCACUUCACACCCGGGCAGCCCUCCUGUCGGGAGAUUCUGAGACAACGGAACAGACAGACAAUGGGAUUGAGGCCACCUCCGCCCGGAACCACCCUGGACAGCGCCCUUUAGGAAACAAUUGGAGGUGAGGGGAAAGCUCGGGAUAAACCCACGGCUCCAAGCUGCCCACGCAGGCUGACGGAUCCUGGAGGAUACACCCCUCUGAAGAGAAUAGGAGGCAACCAGGAAAAGGAUGAGAAACUAAGUGAAAUUCUAAAUUAGGGUUUCUUCAAAAUGGUGUCAUCACGGCAGGCACAUCAGACCACAAAAGUGAUCAGCACCACUUUCCAGCGCUACCUGGAGAAUCAAAGGGAGCCCUGAACAUAAAGACGGACACGGGCUCCCUUUACGUCCCGCCCAUGCCCAGGCCCCGCUCCCUCCCGCUUUUCCAGCCGCGCCGUGGCAGCUCCCCCAGCCCUCCGUCUCUACCCCGAGUUCAGACGGGCUCAUCCCAGAGGAGACGGGGCCAGGCCCCAAGGCCGCCAGCUGGCUGGUGGGAGCCCGGCUGCCCAGAGGCACAGAGAAAACGGACACCUGCUCAAAACCUCUCCGCCUUCUCCCUUCCCUGUGGUCAAUGCCUGUUUGUCACCUUGUGGAAGAACAGCGUGAACCGUCUUCUAGAUAAGCACAAGAUAUAAA
Molecule: long non-coding RNA, 1279 nt
Organism: Equus caballus (horse)
Lineage: Eukaryota; Metazoa; Chordata; Mammalia; Perissodactyla; Equidae
Source: Ensembl